GGAGAGGUGCCAGAGCUGGUUGAUUGGGGUGGCCUGCUAAGCCAUUGUGGGCGAAAGUCUACCGUGGGUUCGAAUCCCACCCUCUCCGCCA
This 91-nucleotide transfer RNA is filed under the name bacterium. RNAcentral's name for it is "tRNA-Ser". It matches the Rfam family "tRNA". From Rfam's summary of the family: Transfer RNA (tRNA) molecules are approximately 80 nucleotides in length. Their secondary structure includes four short double-helical elements and three loops (D, anti-codon, and T loops). The record is from RNAcentral.